This 301-nucleotide ribosomal RNA is filed under the name uncultured bacterium. RNAcentral describes it as "partial 16S ribosomal RNA". It matches the Rfam family "Bacterial small subunit ribosomal RNA", at positions 509 to 807 of the family's 1533-position model. The record is from RNAcentral.
CAGUCGCCACGGUAAUACAGAGGGUGCAAGCGUUAAUCGGAAUUACUGGGCGUAAAGCGCGCGUAGGUGGUUUGUUAAGUUGGAUGUGAAAUCCCCGGGCUCAACCUGGGAACUGCAUCCAAAACUGGCAAGCUAGAGUAUGGUAGAGGGUGGUGGAAUUUCCUGUGUAGCGGUGAAAUGCGUAGAUAUAGGAAGGAACACCAGUGGCGAAGGCGACCACCUGGACUGAUACUGACACUGAGGUGCGAAAGCGUGGGGAGCAAACAGGAUUAGAUACCCGAGUAGUACCUGUCUCUUAUAC